RNAcentral lists this long non-coding RNA (203 nucleotides) under Homo sapiens (human). Its description in RNAcentral is "HSALNT0013548". The record is from RNAcentral. Lineage: Eukaryota; Metazoa; Chordata; Mammalia; Primates; Hominidae.
UCAGUAAGGCCCUUUUUCCCUUAAUAGAUAGUUACAUAUGUAGAUAGAUAGACAGAUAAUCUGUCUAGAGCUACAUAUUUAUCUACAUAUCCACAAACAUAAAUACAUAUAAUAAUGAAUUAUUAUCACUAUGUAGAGAUAUCCAACGAUUUCUAUUAGGGAAAUAAAUCUUUUAUUGAAGUUCAGAGAGAAAAGCAAUCUUU